This 350-nucleotide long non-coding RNA is filed under the name Olea europaea (common olive). RNAcentral's name for it is "long non-coding RNA (OEUR_LNC006571)". Lineage: Eukaryota; Viridiplantae; Streptophyta; Magnoliopsida; Lamiales; Oleaceae. The record is from RNAcentral.
UUGUAAGUAACUUGUACUGUUUCCAAAACAUAGGCUUAGUGGCCGUGUAAUAAGCCACCAUUUUGCUGUGUGCUACUGGCAGAAAUUUCUUGGGGGUUUGUUAAAAAAAGACAUGGUGAAAAUAGCAGAAUAUCUGUCAAUAAUCAUCAAAUGGGGUAAUAAGUAUCAACCUUCUCAGGAGAGACCAUUUUAGACUCUUAAUCUUUUCGAUAAAAAUCCAUUAGUAGUGUAAAUGCUCAACUCUAUUGUGGGCGCCAUUUAUUUGCUUUUGUUUAAUAUGAAUUACUUCACGUUAAAUGCAUUUUGUUACUUUUAAAACAGAUUAAUCUGCUCAGAAAUGGGUAGUAAUU